RNAcentral lists this ribosomal RNA (207 nucleotides) under uncultured bacterium. RNAcentral describes it as "partial 16S ribosomal RNA". It matches the Rfam family "Bacterial small subunit ribosomal RNA", at positions 568 to 774 of the family's 1533-position model. The record is from RNAcentral.
CACGUAGGCGGAUUGCUAAGUCAGGGGUGAAAUCCUGGAGCUCAACUCCAGAACUGCCCUUGAUACUGGCGACCUCGAGUCCGGGAGAGGUGAAUGGAACUGCGAGUGUAGAGGUGAAAUUCGUAGAUAUUCGCAAGAACACCAGUGGCGAAGGCGGCUCACUGGCCCGGUACUGACGCUGAGGUGCGAAAGCGUGGGGAGCAAACA